This 301-nucleotide ribosomal RNA is filed under the name uncultured bacterium. RNAcentral's name for it is "partial 16S ribosomal RNA". It matches the Rfam family "Bacterial small subunit ribosomal RNA", at positions 509 to 807 of the family's 1533-position model. The record is from RNAcentral.
CAGCCGCCACGGUAAUACGUAGGGUGCGAGCGUUAAUCGGAAUUACUGGGCGUAAAGCGUGCGCAGGCGGUUGUGUAAGACAGGUGUGAAAUCCCCGGGCUUAACCUGGGAACUGCGCUUGUGACUGCACAGCUAGAGUAUGGCAGAGGGGGGUGGAAUUCCACGUGUAGCAGUGAAAUGCGUUGAGAUCGGAAAGAACACCAACGGCGAAAGCACUCUGCUGGGCCGACACUGACACUGAGAGACGAAAGCUAGGGGAGCAAAUGGGAUUAGAUACCCCGGUAGUCCCUGUCUCUUAUAC